AAAUUCUUGAAGUUUACUUGCCCUAAGACUGUAUAAGCUAUUAAUGUCACUUGGCAACUGCAAUCCAUGGGUCAGUUAUGUGUUAUGUGUGUAAAAAAAUUCUACGUUGAAUUUACUGGCACUGAAUUUAGAAAAACAAUCUGGUGUAGUUUCAAAGGAUUAAGUUCAGUAAGAGCCAAAUAAAACUUGAAUGCUUUGAAGGAUUUCAAUGAUAUUUGCUAAAAACUUGUGUAUCCACAACCAGAGAGUGUGUCCCAAAUAGUAUUGGAGUUCGUAUAUUGAAGGUCAAUACUGUCAUUUUGUUAGCUCUACUUCCAGUACCUCAGUUUGAAAAGGGAAGUAAUUCCAGAAAAUAUUUUCUAUCCUUGAGGGAUAUUAAUUCCAUUUUGAAAUAUUAAUGCACCAAGAGAUAAUUUAGUUAGGUACUGUUUGAAGAGUGAGUCAGUAAUCCAAUGACACAAACAACUUUUUCCAAGGUUCUCUUAAGAUUGAAAAGCUUUACCUUUGCUAAUUUAAUUUUU
This 521-nucleotide long non-coding RNA is filed under the name Mytilus galloprovincialis (Mediterranean mussel). Lineage: Eukaryota; Metazoa; Mollusca; Bivalvia; Mytilida; Mytilidae. The record is from RNAcentral.